RNAcentral lists this ribosomal RNA (117 nucleotides) under Arcanobacterium canis. The record is from RNAcentral. Lineage: Bacteria; Bacillati; Actinomycetota; Actinomycetes; Actinomycetales; Actinomycetaceae.
GACGGUGGCGAUAGCGGUAGGGAUCCGCCCGGUCCCAUUCCGAACCCGGAAGCUAAGCCUACCAGCGCUGAUGGUACUGCACUCGUGAGGGUGUGGGAGAGUAAGACACUGCCGUCA